This 680-nucleotide ribosomal RNA is filed under the name Sphaeronaemella fimicola. RNAcentral describes it as "LSU rRNA". It matches the Rfam family "Eukaryotic large subunit ribosomal RNA", at positions 42 to 950 of the family's 3401-position model. Lineage: Eukaryota; Fungi; Ascomycota; Sordariomycetes; Microascales. The record is from RNAcentral.
AUCAAUAAGCGGAGGAAAAGAAACCAACAGGGAUUGCUCUAGUAACGGCGAGUGAAGCAGCAACAGCUCAGAUUUGAAAGGCUUCGGCCGUUGUAAUCUGCAGACGGGGGAAGGCGAGAGGAGCGUGCCAAGUCGCCUGGAACGGCGCGCCGGAGAGGGUGAUAGCCCCGUCCGCACCCUCCUCAACCCACUCUCCCCCGUUCGACGAGUCGAGUAGUUUGGGAAUGCUGCUCUAAACGGGAGGUAUACCCCUUCUAAAGCUAAAUACCCGCCUGAGACCGAUAGCGCACAAGUAGAGUGAUCGAAAGAUGAAAAGCACUUUGAAAAGAGAGUUAAAAGCACGUGAAAUUGCUGAAAGGGAAGCGUUCGUCGGCAGAGCUUGGAUUAUCCAGGCCUAAUGUCGCCGAAUGACCCGUCUUGAAACACGGACCAAGGAGUCAACGUUGUAUGCGAGUGUGUGGGUGUCAAGCCCUAGCGCGAAAUGAAAGUGAGCGAAGGAGCAGCUUCGGCCGGAGUAAUCUGAGCAAGAGCAUGCAGUGUUGGACCCGAAAGAAGGUGAACUAUGCGUGGAUAGGGUGAAGCCAGAGGAAACUCUGGUGGAGGCUCGCAGCGGUUCUGACGUGCAAAUCGAUCGUCGAAUCUGCGCAUGGGGGCGAAAGACUAAUCGAACCUUCUAGUAG